RNAcentral lists this long non-coding RNA (392 nucleotides) under Nicotiana benthamiana. RNAcentral describes it as "long non-coding RNA (NBEN_LNC026502)". Lineage: Eukaryota; Viridiplantae; Streptophyta; Magnoliopsida; Solanales; Solanaceae. The record is from RNAcentral.
GGUGUGUACUGUUGAGUUCUCCCACAUCGGAGGGAUUUGAGAUCCUUGGUCUCCUUAUAUGGUUUGGGCAAUCCUCACCUCAUAAGCUAGCUUUUGGGGUCGAGUUAGGCCCAAGGUCUAUUCUUUUCAUGGUAUCAGAGCUACAGUGAGAAUAUUAUAGCUGUGCGUCAUUCCAUCUACUUCCGGGAAGAAAGACCUCGUCGCCGUGCAAUUUUUCGGCGUCUUAAGAGGCUGUCCGUAACUAAACUACCUUUUUUGUUGGUGUUGUGCAAAAUCCGAGACCACCUACUUCCGGGAAGAAAGAACUCGUCGCCGUGCAAUUUUCCGGCGACUUAAGAGGCUGUCCAUAACUAACUGGUGUUGUGCAAAAUCCGAGACCACCACGAGGUUCG